This 330-nucleotide ribosomal RNA is filed under the name uncultured bacterium. RNAcentral's name for it is "bacterial SSU rRNA". It matches the Rfam family "Bacterial small subunit ribosomal RNA", at positions 66 to 422 of the family's 1533-position model. The record is from RNAcentral.
GCGGGCGUAGCAAUACGUCAGCGGCAGACGGGUGAGUAACGCGUGGGAACGUACCUUUUGGUUCGGAACAACACAGGGAAACUUGUGCUAAUACCGAAUAAGCCCUUACGGGGAAAGAUUUAUCGCCGAAAGAUCGGCCCGCGUCUGAUUAGCUAGUUGGUGAGGUAAUGGCUCACCAAGGCGACGAUCAGUAGCUGGUCUGAGAGGAUGAUCAGCCACAUUGGGACUGAGACACGGCCCAAACUCCUACGGGAGGCAGCAGUGGGGAAUAUUGGACAAUGGGCGCAAGCCUGAUCCAGCCAUGCCGCGUGAGUGAUGAAGGCCCUAGGG